Molecule: ribosomal RNA, 400 nt
Filed under: uncultured Glomus
Lineage: Eukaryota; Fungi; Glomeromycota; Glomeromycetes; Glomerales; Glomeraceae
Description: SSU rRNA
Rfam family: Eukaryotic small subunit ribosomal RNA
Source: RNAcentral
AGCAGCCGCGGUAAUUCCAGCUCCAAUAGCGUAUAUUAAAGUUGUUGCAGUUAAAAAGCUCGUAGUUGAAUUUCGGAAUCAGUACGGCGGUCGUGCCUCUGGUAUGUACUGUUGUUACUGGUUUCUCCCUUCUGAAGAACUAUCAUGUCAUUAAUUUGGUGUGGUGGGGAAUCAGGACUGUUACUUUGAAAAAAUUAGAGUGUUUAAAGCAGGCUCGCGCUUGAAUACAUUAGCAUGGAAUAAUGAAAUAGGACGUUUGAUCCUAUUUUGUUGGUUUCUAGGAUUGACGUAAUGAUUAAUAGGGAUAGUUGGGGGCAUUAGUAUUCAAUUGUCAGAGGUGAAAUUCUUGGAUUUAUUGAAGACUAACUACUGCGAAAGCAUUUGCCAAGGAUGUUUUCAU